UGGGGAAUUUUCCGCAAUGGGCGCAAGCCUGACGGAGCAAUACCGCGUGAGGGAGGAAGGCCUUUGGGUUGUAAACCUCUUUUCUUAAGGAAGAAGAACUGACGGUACUUAAGGAAUCAGCAUCGGCUAACUCCGUGCCAGCAGCCGCGGUAAUACGGAGGAUGCAAGCGUUAUCCGGAAUAAUUGGGCGUAAAGCGUUCGUAGGUGGUUUUGUAAGUCUGCUGUUAAAGCGUGUAGCUCAACUACAUAAUGGCGGUGGAAACUACAAGACUUGAGUGCGUUCGGGGUAGAGGGAAUUCCUGGUGUAGCGGUGAAAUGCGUAGAGAUCAGGAAGAACACCGGUGGCGAAGGCGCUCUACUAGGCCGCAACUGACACUGAGGGACGAAAGCUAGGGGAGCGAAUGGGAUUAGAUACCCGCGUAGUCC
RNAcentral lists this ribosomal RNA (426 nucleotides) under uncultured prokaryote. RNAcentral describes it as "bacterial SSU rRNA". It matches the Rfam family "Bacterial small subunit ribosomal RNA", at positions 355 to 796 of the family's 1533-position model. The record is from RNAcentral.